GGGCCCGUAGCCCAGCCUGGAUUAGGGCGUCGGUCUUCGGAUUAUAAUGGAGAAAACCGGAAGUCGUGGGUUCGAAUCCCUCCGGGCCCG
RNAcentral lists this transfer RNA (90 nucleotides) under Candidatus Dadabacteria bacterium. RNAcentral describes it as "tRNA-Arg". It matches the Rfam family "tRNA". From Rfam's summary of the family: Transfer RNA (tRNA) molecules are approximately 80 nucleotides in length. Their secondary structure includes four short double-helical elements and three loops (D, anti-codon, and T loops). The record is from RNAcentral. Lineage: Bacteria; Pseudomonadati; Thermodesulfobacteriota; Candidatus Dadabacteria.